Long non-coding RNA from Choloepus didactylus (southern two-toed sloth), 1152 nucleotides. RefSeq lists it as uncharacterized. The transcript is spliced from 2 exons. The record is from RefSeq and is a predicted model, not a curated record. Lineage: Eukaryota; Metazoa; Chordata; Mammalia; Pilosa; Megalonychidae.
AAAUGCAUCCAAAACCAAGAAUAAUGCUUAUAAGAAAAAUUAUUAUAAUAAAUUUCUCAUUAGAAAAAUCUUAACACAAAUCAAAACAAAUCAAAAUAAUAUAGCUGUGCAACAGAAUAUAUGAAAAGUUAGCAAGGAUAUAAACAUACUCACCUUUUUCCUUCCCCUAUCCUCUGGUUAAGUGGUACUUAAAAGAAUUAUCUGGGAUAGUCAAUGUAGUUAUAUUUUCAAGAGAAGCUGUUUCAAAAUUCCUCAGGUUAAGUUUUCAAAGCAAAAUACAGUUUUUAUUUUACUGUAAAAUAAAAAACAUGAACAAAGAUCUCCACUAUUUUUCUCUUAAAUAAGCUCUCAACUCUUUGGUUCCCGAAAUAAAACUUAUUUUCCUUUCUUUCUCACCCUCUGAAAUUUUAGCAGACCUCUGGCUCCUUUCCCUAGAAUUCUCCAUAUCUUUAUCUUAAAUCCUAAACUGAGAAGAAUGUGCUCACCUAUACCACACAAGCAAAGGAAACCAGAAACGUACCAAAUACCGUCUGCCAGGUUUAUUUCGUCAAUCAAUGUAGAAUUGUCUGGUACUUACCACAUUCUCAAAAGCAGAAGAUUAUAGAGUUUAUCUUCAGUAUUGUUUCGUGGAACAGCCAUAAGAAAAGGCUGACCAAAAAGUGAAGAACCAGUAUGGUGGGUGUAACUUGAGUGUCUAAACUUUUCUCUUAGGCAAAUAGGAAUAAUCACAUGCUCUGUAUCUUCUGUCCUAUUGAUGUUAAUUUCAAACCUACAAGGACAAAACUGACCAUAAAUUCUCAAAAUUUUAUGAUAUUUCUUUUGAAUUUUUUCACAAAUAAUAUUUUGCACAAUGAAUUUUAUACUUACACAUAAAUAUCAUCUCGUUCCACAAUACUACUAAGGUUUUCAUCCAUAGCGAAUAUUCUGUGAAAUCUAUGAUUGUAUAUAUCAGUAACUAUCAUCUAAAAGGAAAUAAAUUUCUAUUAAGCUGGCUUUACAACACUGAAAAACUAAACACCAAGUUAUAUACUUUAACCCAGAAACAUCUUACCUUAUCUGCAGGUACUCCUGACAAAGCAGACAAUGCUGUACAAAGAUCUAGUAUGUUUCCAAUUUUGGGGACAACCACUUUGUACUAAAAAAAAAAACAAA